UUAUUAAUGGAAAUGUUCCUAUAAAAAGGCUAACUUCCACUCUGGUUUCAGAGCUUCUCCUGUGUUGGUGGUUUCUUAAAAAUCACCGGCUCAAAAUUAUCCUUAUGCCCAAAGUUAUCAUUUGGAGUGGAAAACUCUGCUACCCUUCAUGACUAUCCGAUAAUAAGGUGGCCCUGUGAACAACUCAACCAAGCUGGCUUAGGUGCACUGAUAGGAAACACAUUCAGGGACCCCAGUUUAUCCACAAAUUGCACCUUUGACUACAUACUCUCCCCCCUUAAUGGAGAUUCCACAGUCCACAAAACCAGAGGAGUUUUAUUGUUUUUGUUGUUUGCGGUUUCUUUGUUUGUUUUCCAUUGAAGUUCUCAUUGAACAUAGCCUAGUCAUCUGUGGGAUUUUCCCCAGAAGAUUUUAGGGAAGUGACUUUAGGAGCUAGAUCUCUGAUUGUUUCCUGAUAAGUUCAGAUUACCCGUCUCCAGUUUACCCCUCCCCAGAGCCUUGUCAUUCCUCUGUACCCAGAAGAGAGGCUUUGAUAUUAGACACCUUUGCUCCAGGCUAUUCUCAGAGAGAACUUAAGUGUUCUAGAUGAGAAGACACAGAACAGGUUCACCUAGGAAGGCUGUCGCCCACCCAUGACAGGCUACUAAUCAGUUGGAGUGCUGCACCUCUCACUACUAUUCCUUUCUUCACAACUGCAGACUUCCUGGCUCUCUGCUCUUCAGAACCACAUAUUGAUUUCCUCACCACUGACACCUGAGUGUUGGAUCUGAACAGGACCCACAGGUGGCUCUGGUGACUGAGAUGGCAUCCUUUCUAAAGGCCCUAGGCCCUCUCUUGGCCCUGCUAUUUCCCCUAGGUGGUCUGCUUGUACACAGCCAGAACCUUUCCUGGAAGGAAUUCAUGAAACAGCACUACCUGAGCACAAGCUGGAAAUUCAGCGACUACAAAUGCAAUGAUCUCAUGAGGGAAAGAGAAGCUCCACAAGACAGGAACUAUCACAUCUUCAUCUAUACCUUUUGGCACAAAAUUGAGCAUAUUUGCUUCAGGAAGUGGAGAGACCGUUACAGAAAUGUAUACAUAUGGGCCCAGCAUCCCUUCAAAAUACUCCAGUGCUACCAGGAGGGCAACCAAAAGAGCUAUAGAGAGCAUGGUGGCUACAGCUACAUUGAAUUCCACUGUGGUAUGAACGGGGCUCAGAACCUUUCCACGCUGGCAGAGGAACAGCAGACAAAAGCUUCUGAGCCUGGGACUAACCACUGUCUCUAUCCUCAGCAGGAGCCCCAGUAAGGAGACCUGUAAUCCAUACACCCAAGUGGGCCCAAAAUGACAACCUAAGAUCAAGAGUCACAUGCUCCUCUGACUGAGACAGCCAGUGACUCUUUAGGAAGCAGUGAGUGCCCAGAGCAGACGAGCACACGACUGAGGCCUUAUCUCAACUGUGCACCCACAGACUGACUUCGAGUUUGGAAGGGACACCUCUUUCCAGGAACAACCAGAACUCUUCACCAAAGAGAUACAUAAGAUUGAAGCAGACCUGUGAGAAUUCACUCUGAGGGAAGGGCAAAUCCAUACUCAAAACCUAGGGAAAUGGGGCCCAUCCUGCUCUAAAGGUCUAUCAAAUUCCUGGUUUAUGGACAUAUCAGCCUCCACAGUCUCUGGAGAAACAGAACGGACAGCUGCAGCACUGAGACCUCAGGACGAGCUGCUUCUCAGAGAAGAAGGGCUCAGAACCCUUCCCUGCUGCAAGCAGGUCAUGCUGGCAUAUCUGGCAGAGGAACAGCAGACAAAAGCAUCUAAGCCUGGGACUAACCACAGCCUCUGUCCUGAGCAGGACCCCCAGCAAGGAGACCUGAAGAAAUGAUGCUGGAUCUUCUGGGACCCUUUCCUCUCCUGUUGCUGCUGGGAUCAUGGGGGCCAGUGCUUCCCCCUGGUGCUAUGGCUCAACUCACUAGGUUUCGAAAGUUUGAAAUUCAGCAUAUAAGUGCAGGUCCCGUAUAAUGCAACAAUGCAAUGUGUGCUGUCAAUAGUCUUACUCAGCACUGUAAACCUCAAAACACCUUUCUGCAUAACUCCUCCCAGAAGUGGCUGCUACCUGUCUUUUGCCCAAGAGGACCUGCAGGAAUGGGCAGUAUAACUGCCACCAGAGUGCAAAUUGUAUUGGCAUUACUUACUGCAGUCACACUGGAGGGACAUAGCCCAACUGCAGCUACAGUAAGUACUACUCCCCAGAAUCAGUUCUACACUGUUGCCUGUAACUCCCAUCACCUGGGUGACCCUCACUAUCGUCUAGUUCCUGUCAUUUAGAUUAAAACUAAGGUUUCUCUCAUUUGGUGCAGUUUCUCUCAUGAUCUCUUCUGUCUUGUCUUUUGCUUUGCUGAUUUCCAUGGAUCCCACAGAAGAAAGAAGUCAGGGAGUGGGAAAAUUAGAGGCCCAAGAUGCCAGCCCAGAGUUGUGGACAAAUGUGUUCAAAUACUUUUCUGCUUUGAAGCUCCGUGUGUUUUGAAAGAAUACAACAGGGAAGAGAGCAAAGACAGACCCAGGCACCUAGUUUCACUCUUGAAACUUCUGUCAAGCUUUGUGCAUUGUGUUCACAGCAAUAAAAUCACUUUCUGUUGCA
RNA transcript from Mustela erminea (ermine), 2617 nucleotides. It is a transcript of the gene named epididymal protein 3B, with no coding region annotated. The record is from RefSeq and is a predicted model, not a curated record. The transcript has 8 exons. Lineage: Eukaryota; Metazoa; Chordata; Mammalia; Carnivora; Mustelidae.